This is a small nuclear RNA of Brugia malayi, 91 nucleotides long. Lineage: Eukaryota; Metazoa; Nematoda; Chromadorea; Rhabditida; Onchocercidae. The record is from RefSeq and is a predicted model, not a curated record.
AUUUCAGGAUGUCCCGACAAUUUUCUCCAAUUCAUAGAAGCUGAAACUCUGGCCGAUACAUUCAAUUACCUUAAACUUGAGUAAUUAAAUU